Molecule: ribosomal RNA, 270 nt
Filed under: uncultured archaeon
Lineage: Archaea
Description: partial 16S ribosomal RNA
Rfam family: Archaeal small subunit ribosomal RNA
Source: RNAcentral
CAGCACCUCAAGUGGUCAGGAUGAUUAUUGGGCCUAAAGCAUCCGUAGCCGGCGCUGUAAGUUUUCGGUUAAAUCUGUACGCUCAACGUACAGGCUGCCGGGAAUACUGCAGCGCUAGGGAGUGGGAGAGGUGGACGGUACUCGGUAGGAAGGGGUAAAAUCCUUUGAUCUAUUGAUGACCACCUGUGGCGAAGGCGGUCUAUCAGAACACGUCCGACGGUGAGGGAUGAAAGCUGGGGGAGCAAACCGGAUUAGAUACCCGAGUAGUCC